UUUGUUAAUCCCAAACUCCUAAUUUAUCCCUCCUCUGCCUUUAACCUUUGGUAACCAUAAGUUUGCUUUCUGUGUCUGUGGGUCUGUUUUGUACAUAAAUUCAUUUGUAUCAUUAACUUUAGAUUGCGCAUAUAGGUGGUAUCAUGUGAUAUUUGUCUGGCUUUCUUCACUUAGUAUGAUAUUCUUUAGGUCCAUCCAUGUUGCUGCAAAUGACAUUAUUUCAUUCAUUUUUUUCAUUUUUAAGGUUUUGUUGAAGUAUAGUAGAUUUACAAGGUUGCGAUGAUUUCUGCUGUAUAUCGGAAUGAUUCAAUUAUACAUGUACACACAUUCAUUCUUUUUCAUAUUAUUUUCCCAUAUAGAUUAUCACAGAAUAUUGGGUCGAAUUCUCUGUGCUAUAUUGCAGGUCCCAAUUGGCCAAUUAUUCCAUAUACUCCAGUGCUCAUAUCCCAAUCUCAAACCCCCAGUCCAUCCCUCCCCCUCCAACCCAUCUGCUUUGGUAACCUUAAGUUUUUCAAAGUUUGUAAGUCUGUUUCUGUGCUGCAAAUAAAUUCAAUUUGUAUCCUUUUUUUUGAUUCCACAUAUAAGUAAUAUCAUAUGAUGUUUGUCUUUCACUGUCUGCCUUACUUCACUUAGUAUAAUAAUCUCUAGGUCUAUUCAUGUUGCCGAAGAUGGCAUUAUUUCAUUCUUUUUUAUGGCUGAGUAAUAGUCCAUUGUAUAUAUGUACCAUAUCUUCUUUGUCCAUUCCUCUACUGAUGGACAUUUAGGUUGCUUCUACGUCUUGGCUAUUGUAAAUAGUGCUGCAGUGAACAUUGGAGUGCAUGUAUCUUUUGGAAUUAUGUUUUUUUUUUUCUGGAUAGAUGUGCAGGAGUGGGAUUGCUAGAUCACAUGGUAGUUCUUUUUUUUUCUUUUUAGGGCCACAGGUGAGUCAUAUGGAAGUUCCCAGGCUAGAAGUUGAAUUGGAGCUGCAGCUGCCAGCCUACACCAUAGCCACAGUAACUAAGGAUCCAAGUUGCAUCUUUGACACCACAGUUCAUGGCAAUGCUGGAUCCUUAACCCACUGAGUGAGGCUGUGGAUCGAAGCCCCAUCCUCAUUGGUACUGAUCACAACGGGAACUCCAAUAUGGUAGUUCUGUAUUUAGUUUUUUUAGGAACCUCUAUACUAUUUCCCACAGCCAUUUCACCAAUUUAUAUUCCCACUAGCAGUGUUAAGAAGUUUCCCUUUUCUUCACACCCUUGCCAGCAUUUAUUGUUUAUAGACUUUUUUUUUUUUGUGUGUGUGUUUUUAGGGCCACAUGCAUGGCAUAUGGAAGUUCCCAGGCUAAGGGUCUAAUCCGAGCUGUAGCCCCCGGCCUAGGUCACAACCACAGGAACGCCAGAUCCGAGCCACUUCUGGACCUAUACCACAGCUCAUGGCAACCCACUGAGUGAGACCAGGGAUCGAACCUGCAACCUUAUGGUUCCUAGUCAGAUUCGUUUCUGCUGUGCCAUGACAGGAGCUACUGUUUGUAGACUUUUUGAUGGCCAUUCUGGCUGGUAUAAGGUGUGCCUCAUAGUAGUUUUGAUUUGCAUUUCUCUAAUAAUUAGCAAUGUUGACCUUCUUUUCAUAUUUUUUUGGCUAUCUGUAUGUCUUCUUUGGAGAAAUGUCUAUAUCUUUUGACCAUUUUUUUAAUGCAUUGCUUAUUUUUUUUGAUAUUGAGCUGCAGGAGGCAUUUGUAUAUUUUGGAAAUUAAUCCCUUGUCAGCUGCUUCAUUUACAAAUAUUUUUUAUUCUGUAGUUGUCUUUUUUUGUUUGUUUAUUGUUUCCUUUGCUAUGCAAAAACUUUUACAUUUAGUUAAGUCCCAUUUGUUUAUUUUUGUUUUUAUUUUUAUUACUCUAGGAGGUGGAUCCAAAAAGAUAAUGCAGCAAUUUAUGUCAAAGAAUGUUCUGCCUGUGUUUUCCUCUAAGAGUUUUAUAGUAUCUGGGCUUAUAUUUAGGUCUUUAAUCUACUGUGAGUUUAUUUUUGUGUGUAGAAUAAGUGAAUGUUCUAAUUUCAUUCUUUUACAUAUAGCUGUCCGGUUUUCCCAGCACCACUUAUGGAAGAGACUGCUUUUUUUUUUUUUCUAUUGCAUAUUCUUGGCUCCUUUCUAAUAGAUUAACUGGCCAUAGGUGUGUGGGUAUAUUUCUGGGCUUCCUAUCCUAUUCCCGUGGUCUAUAUUUCUGUUUUUGUGCCAGUAUCAUACUGUUUGGAUGACUGUAACUUUUUAAUAUAGUCUGAAGUCAGAGAGCCUAUUCCUCCAGCUCCAUUUUUCUUUCUCAGGACUGCUUUGGCUAUUAAGGAUCUUUUGAAUUUCCAUACAAAUUUAAAAAUAUUGGAGUUCCCGUCAUGGCGCAGUGGUUAACGAAUCCAACUAGGAACCAUGAGGUUGCGGGUUCGGUCCCUGCCCUUGCUCAGUGGGUUAACGAUCCGGCAUUGCCGUGAGCUGUGGUGUAGGUUGCAGACGCGGCUCGGAUCCCUUGUUGCUGUGCCUCCGGCCUACACCAGAGCUACAGUAACGUGAGAUCCAAGCCGUGUCUGCAACCUACACCACAGCUCACGGCAACGCCGGAUCGUUAACCCACUGAGCAAGGGCAGGGAUCGAACCUGCAACCUCAUGGUUCCUAGUCGGAUUCGUUAACCACUGCGCCACGACGGGAACUCCAGAUUUAAGUCUUUUUUAUUGAUGGUUAUUCAAUAGUAAGUUGUGAUUUUGGGGGUGCUCAUGAAUGGAGGUGAGCUCAAGGUCCUUCUAUUCUGCCAUCUUCAUUACCAGCCAAGCCCUUUCUAGAAUUAUCUCAUUCUAGAUUUAUAAAACUUCUUAAUAGUUGUAUUUUUAUUUUUAAAUAUUUCUAAAUAUCUCUUUUUUAUACGUACCUGUUCUUUUACAUGUUUAGGAAUGUGUUCAUAUUAGGUUUAUUAAAUGUUUUUCUGAGCAUUAGAUAUCAUUUUUUUUUUUUUUUUGAGUUUUGUUUCCUUUUUGUGUUUUGGCCGCCAAUGGUUCCUAUAAUCUGCAGUCCUGGACAGAAUUCAUAGUAUUGUUCUUCAGCCUGCUGUCAUGAUUUGGAGAUGUUUUAUUAAACUCUCUCUUAGGCAGUGGGUCUUACUCUGAUUCCUUGCCUUGCCUAGUGGAUCAUUUUUAUUGCCCAUUACCUCACAGGAACUUAACUCCUAAUUGCUCCUGUUUGCUUCUUAAUCCAGACCCUAGCUCCCAUUUUGUAUUUUGUUCCCAUAUCUGGCCCAUGAAGAUAUUUAUGUCUUAUUUUUGAACAAUUUUUACUUGUUUUGUUGUUUAUUUUCUUUUCAUUUUUUUCCCUAUCAUUACUGUUUAGUUGAAGCAUAAGGAGUGUCUUAAAGUGUGAAUUUACUGCUCUAUCUUCCCUGAGCUCUUGUUUUCUAUCAUUUUGUUGAAGGUUUAAUGAAAAAUUUGCUGUCUGAAUCCUGCUAAUUACUCCACUUGGAUUUUUGUAGAUGGAGUCUCACAUGGAGUCAAGGAGUACAACAUGUUCUAAAGCAGAGGACUGCAGAGUAACAGUGACUGGAGAAUUUUAUGGGGCCUCUUCUUCUUCCAGUCCUAGCCCUUGGGAUAAGAUAACUCAGACUUCCUACUGCCUAUUCCCAGUCUAUACAACUUACAGGUCCUGAGGCUUAAACAGCAGUCACUUUUCUCUGCGGUGCUGCCGUUGGUGUGUGGUCCCUCCCCCUGUGAUCUUACUUUCAAGAGAUAAGUGAAUUAAGAUGUCAAGACAUGGGAUGUGCUUCACAGAAACUAUACCUGUGCUAGAGGGUAUCAACUCUCCACAAUUCUUGAACUGUAUAAGUCACUCUACCUUCCUAUGGGGAGAUCAUGGUCAGGGUUUACACUGGGCCUGGAGAGAUGUGCCCCCAGCCUGCCUAUGCCCUAUAAAGACAAGAGAAGCUGAGACUACGGUAUUUCCUUAAUGCUUUGAUUUAACAGUUCAAGUUCUGAAAAUCAAUCCUAAGAAAAUAACCAGGGAUGUGAUCAAGAUUUAAGCAUAAAUGUAUUUGCCUUAAUUUUACCUGUAAUAGUGAAAAAUUGAGAGGAUAAACCCUAUUUCCCACCCUAUCCCCCCAAAAAAAAACCCCACCACAAAUGUUUCUGAUCUAAAUAAUUAAUGUAGAGAUAAGGAAAAUACUAUGAGUUUUGCAUAUAUUUUUAAACUUUGCUUGCAGGUGUUUAAAAAAAUCUAAAAGAAAUAAGAUCACAUACAGUCUUUUAUAGCAGGGUGACAAAUGUCUCAUUAGGCAAAGUGCAGGUCGGCAUAAAAAUAAAUGUAAUUUAUACUUGAAUUUUUGUCUGAUCAAAUGACAUAUGUUUUAUUGUCUUAUACUUAUGAGUGAUAUUUAAUUAAAAGCUAGUUGAAUAUUCCAGAUGGCAAUUAUCUUUCAAUAGAGAUGCCAUUUCUGACACAAGGAGGCAGAUGAGCAGAAAGGAGAAUUUGUGUACUUAUUCCUUAGGAGAUGGAAAAAAAGAAACCACACCAAGCAUUGACACACAGAGAGAUUUGUGACGAUCUGCCCUAAAUGCCACUCUUUCCCUUGUUGAGCUUUGCUUACAUGUUCGUCAUUAGGUAAACCAUGUCCAAACUAAAACUGAGGUAGCCAGUAUUCAUUAGUUCACAAAUGCAAUUGUAUAGCCAUUCUUUGAAUCUGAGCCAGGGAGAGGAGUGUAAGCCUCAUUUACUUUCAUUAAUUCAGACACAGAUUAUGUGUAAUAUAGUCUAAGUAAGUGUCCUCUCACACAUGUGGUAGAAGGCAGAAAAACAAACAAAAAAAACCUCUUAAUCAGAGGACAUUUAGGCAGAAUCUACCAGUUGAUUUUUUUUUUUGUCUUUUUGCCUUUCCUAGGGCCACACCCGCGGCAUAUGGAGGUUCCCAGGCUAGGGGUCGAAUCGGAGCUGUAGCCGCCGGACUACACCAGAGCCAGAGCAACUCGGGAUCCGAGCUGCCAUCUGCGACCUACACCAUAGCUCACAGCAAUGCUGGAUCCUUAACCCACUGAGCGAGGCCAGGGAUCGAACCCGCAACCUCAUGGUUCCUAGUCAGAUUCGUUAACCACUGAGCCACGAUGGGAACUCCUGACCAGUUUAUUUUAUUUUAUUAUUUUUAUUUUUUUUUAUUUUUUGUCUUUUUGCUAUUUCUUUGGGCCGCUCCCGUGGCAUAUGGAGGUUCCCAGGCUAGGGGUCAUAUCGGAGCUGUAGUCCCCAGCCUACACCAGAGCCACAGCAACGCAGGAUCCCAGCCAUGUCUGCAACCUACACCACAGCUCACGGCAACGCUGGAUCGUUAACCCACUGAGCAAGGGCAGGGACCGAACCCACAACCUCAUGAUUCCUAGUUGGAUUCGUUAAGCACUGCGCCACGACGGGAACUCCCCAACCAGUUGAUUUUAAAUGGAAUCUUUUAUUUUUGGAAAUGAGAGAUCUCCAAAAAUAAAAGAUUCCAUUUAAAAUAUCUCUCUCUCUAUAUAUUCAAAAUGUAUGAAUUUAAAUUAAAAUGUAAACAUAUUUAAUAAAUAUAAAUAUAAUGUAUAUUUCACUUAAACAUAAGUAAAUUAUCUAAUAUAAAUCAUCCCUCAGUACAUCAGGGGAAAUAUAUUUCACUCAUUUUUUUUUUUGUUUCUUUGGCGGCACCUGUGGUGUGUGGAAAUUCCAGGACCAGGGAUUGAACCUAUAUCACAGCUGUGACCCUCUCUACAGCAGUGACAAUGCCAGAUCCUUUACCUGCUACACUGCCAAGUAAACUCUUUCACUCAUUUUUAAGUGUAUAAAUGACUUGGCAGUUUAUGCGUCAGCAAAAUCAAUAUUUAAGACAUUUACAUCAUUCCAAACAGUUCCCUUUUCCCUCUUUGUAGUCAGCCUCUUCCCUAGGCCUCCAGUCUGAGCAACCAUUAAUCUGUUUUGUCACUAUACUUUUGUUAUUUCUAGCAUUUUAUGUAAAUGAAACAGUACAGCAUGUCAUAUUUUGUGUUUAACUUCUUUCUCUUAGUGUUUCUUUUAAUGUGUCUGAGAUUCAUCCAUGGUGUUGCAUAUUCUGUGUAAGUUUGCAAACUUACACAAAAUAUAUAUUAUUACACAAUGAUGAUCAUUAUUAUGAGAUUACUUAGUUUUUCCGUGUUUCUGUGCCCACCAGAAAUUCAAUCUUUGUUAUCUCAGGAGAGUUAAUUUAUCUUUCAGGCCUCUAUUUUUGGUUAUUUUUGUGGCAAAGAAUUGGGAGAAUGGAAAGUUGGAGACAGAAGGACAGAAGCAGGGGGAAAGGAGGUUCAUAUGUCAGAGAAGCUAAGAAGAUCUACAUCACUGGAUCUUAAAGAACAGCCCUUGCACCAUCAGGAUUUUCUGGGAAUACGUUAGAAAUGCCAGUUCUGGAGUUCCCAUUGUGGUGCAGCAGAAACAAAUCUGAUGAGGAACCAUAAGGUUGCAGGUUUGAUCCCUGACCUCGCUCAGUGGGUUAAGGAUUAAUCCGGCAUUGCCGUGAGCUGUGGUACAGAUGUGGCAUGGAUACAGCCCUUAAAAAAAAAAAAAAAAAAAAAAAA
Molecule: long non-coding RNA, 6566 nt
Filed under: Sus scrofa (pig)
Lineage: Eukaryota; Metazoa; Chordata; Mammalia; Artiodactyla; Suidae
Description: lncRNA (ENSSSCG00055014067.1)
Source: RNAcentral